RNAcentral lists this ribosomal RNA (460 nucleotides) under uncultured bacterium. RNAcentral's name for it is "partial 16S ribosomal RNA". It matches the Rfam family "Bacterial small subunit ribosomal RNA", at positions 338 to 795 of the family's 1533-position model. The record is from RNAcentral.
CCUACGGGCGGCAGCAGUGAGGAAUAUUGGUCAAUGGGCGCGAGCCUGAACCAGCCAAGUCGCGUGAGGGAGGACGGCCCUACGGGUUGUAAACCUCUUUUGCCGGGGAGCAACGGGCGCCACGUGUGGCGCCACUGAGAGUACCCGGAGAAAAAGCAUCGGCUAACUCCGUGCCAGCAGCCGCGGUAAUACGGAGGAUGCGAGCGUUAUCCGGAUUUAUUGGGUUUAAAGGGUGCGUAGGCGGAUCGUUAAGUCAGUGGUCAAAUUGCGGGGCUCAACCCCUUCCCGCCAUUGAAACUGGCGAUCUUGAGUGGAAGAGAAGUAUGCGGAAUGCGUGGUGUAGCGGUGAAAUGCAUAGAUAGCACGCAGAACCCCGAUUGCGAAGGCAGCAUGCCGGCUUCCGACUGACGCUGAAGCACGAAAGCGUGGGGAUCGAACAGGAUUAGAUACCCGUGUAGUC